UUUACUCCAUCUCCCCGUCAUGCUAAGCUUUUUUGCAUUAAAUGGGGGUCAAGUGUUUAUGAAUGCAAAAAUGAAAGUCACCACCAUCCAUUUUAGCAGUAGAAACUGUCUUUUGGCAGAAACACUUACAACAAACAAUUACACACACUAUAGAUAAUAUAGAAUUCACACAUAAACUAAGGAUAGAUUUUUAUUUUUUUAAGGGAAACUAAGGAUAGAUAUAUUAUACACAAUUAAUAUCCAAGAAAUUCGAGAGUCUUGGUCUCUCCCUCCAAGAAUUAGAGAGUUUGGUCUCUCCCACCCAAAACCAUUUAGAAAAAUAUCCCAUCAUCACUUCCUCCUUUUCUAUCUAUAUUUAUUCAAAAAUAGAAAACACAUAACCCAUAACUGCUAUACAUAACUGACACAUAAAAACACAACUGCCCAUAACCGCCAUCAUAAGAAGUCUAACAUCUCGAUGUUUGUCUUGGUGCUUUUAAAGGUGCCAAUCAUACUCACUGACGGGUCUAUAGAUAAAAUGGAUCUGCCGGUGUUGUGGUAAAUGGUGAUGUUGUUGCUCAGGGUUCCUAAUUUUCUUUAAAUGAUGUCGAGUUGUGGUUGCUCAGAUAGCUCUAGUUGUGAGCCUUAGAAGAUCUUUAAGCAACUUCCAAGAGAAAGCUAGCUGUACCAUACAGCCUCUGUCUUCCUUUUGACCUUAAAAUACGCCUUUUUGUUCCACUUAAGGCUAGUUUAUUGUCAUUUUGAGUUACAAUUUUCAGAUCUUGCUCUAUUUUUUUCCCAGCUAAAUUCCGAAUUCUUCUACAAUGAUAUCAUAAUGUAACUGCUGAAAUUAAUCAGGCAUAAGUUGAACAUGAUUAUAUAUUAUGUAGAUAAAAUUUCACUCUCCGGAGGAGGAAAUAGCAUUUGCAUCUGGUUGCUGGUUAUAGGUCUAUUUACUAAGAAGUGGAGCAUAUGCUUUUAUGCUCCCUCUUUCUGAUGGAGUAUACAGUUCAUCUGUUGCUGAAAUUGUUGGGUGUAUGUGCCAGCUGGCUGUGAAAGGUAAACUUGUGACAGUAUUUUAAAGCUACAUUUACAUUAUUGUGCAUACGAUCAUAGGAGUGCUUAUUUAGGGAUAAACAAAUUAUUCAAGUAACCACUAAUCUUGUUUCCGUUUAGUAUCAUUUGUGUAAAGAUCUCAAAAUAGUAGGUUUGAUCUUCCGCUGGUUUCUCUGUAAUGCAAGAUGACCAUAUCAAUUUCAGAAAAUUGAUGAACUCGUACUGUCGUACAUGAGCUGGAUGUCAAAGAUGUUGAAGUCUGCAAAUAUGUUCCAGAGAUAUAUACAUUCCAUCUUUUUAUAGCACUCUUUAUGUGAAUGAUGAAAUUCAUUCAACCUUUCA
This is a long non-coding RNA of Medicago truncatula (barrel medic), 1377 nucleotides long. RefSeq lists it as uncharacterized. Lineage: Eukaryota; Viridiplantae; Streptophyta; Magnoliopsida; Fabales; Fabaceae. The record is from RefSeq and is a predicted model, not a curated record. The transcript has 2 exons.